GCUCUAGUCAUUCUGUGAGAGGAACUCCAGGAGACCAGAUCCAACUCGCAAUCAGCUAUAGUGAAGUUAUGAUAUGAGAAGCACCAACUUGGCACAAGACUUGGGAAAGGCAAUGAGGCAGCAGGCAAGCUUUAAGGGAUGACACUUACCUUGAGGGAGCAAGGACAAGUUGUGACCUUCCCAGUCCUCUCUCCAUUUGCAGAUCAGCAAGCUUCUGUCAGCAAGGAGGGGUGGACAAUGAAACUGGGUUCAGCUUGAUUUGUUUUUUGAGACAGGUAUGGCAAGGGGCUGCCAACAAGAAUUCCAGUUGCCCAUGAUGUCACAGGCUGAGGCCCACACUCCAGAGACACUGUGGACUGACUGGCACCUAUGAGCUGACCUAAUAACAGUUACACCAUUACAGCUCCGAUUCUACAGAACAAUACAUAUCCAGUUCUUA
Molecule: long non-coding RNA, 439 nt
Filed under: Homo sapiens (human)
Lineage: Eukaryota; Metazoa; Chordata; Mammalia; Primates; Hominidae
Description: TMEM246 antisense RNA 1
Source: RNAcentral